CGGUAUAGCUCAGCUGGUAGAGCGGCGCAUUCGUAAUGCGUAGGUCGUAGGUUCAAAUCCUAUUGCCG
This 68-nucleotide transfer RNA is filed under the name uncultured Dialister sp. It matches the Rfam family "tRNA". Rfam says of the family: Transfer RNA (tRNA) molecules are approximately 80 nucleotides in length. Their secondary structure includes four short double-helical elements and three loops (D, anti-codon, and T loops). The record is from RNAcentral. Lineage: Bacteria; Bacillati; Bacillota; Negativicutes; Veillonellales; Veillonellaceae. RNAcentral also lists the same sequence under 1 other name.